Molecule: ribosomal RNA, 252 nt
Filed under: uncultured bacterium
Lineage: Bacteria
Description: partial 16S ribosomal RNA
Rfam family: Bacterial small subunit ribosomal RNA
Source: RNAcentral
UACGUAGGUCCCGAGCGUUGUCCGGAUUUAUUGGGCGUAAAGCGUGCGCAGGUGGUUUAUUAAGUCUGGUGUAAAAGGCAGUGGCUCAACCAUUGUAUGCAUUGGAAACUGGUAGACUUGAGUGCAGGAGAGGAGAGUGGAAUUCCAUGUGUAGCGGUGAAAUGCGUAGAUAUAUGGAGGAACACCGGUGGCGAAAGCGGCUCUCUGGCCUGUAACUGACACUGAGGCUCGAAAGCGUGGGGAGCAAACAGG